This 66-nucleotide transfer RNA is filed under the name Parasesarma pictum. RNAcentral's name for it is "tRNA-Asn". The record is from RNAcentral. Lineage: Eukaryota; Metazoa; Arthropoda; Malacostraca; Decapoda; Sesarmidae.
UUGAUAGAAACCAAAAAGAGGUAUAUCACUGUUAAUGAUAAAAUUGAGUAACUAACUCCUAUCGAG